UAGAAGCUUGCUUCUAUGACGUUAGCGGCGGACGGGUGAGUAACACGUGGGCAACCUGCCUGUAAGACUGGGAUAACUUCGGGAAACCGAAGCUAAUACCGGAUAGGAUCUUCUCCUUCAUGGGAGAUGAUUGAAAGAUGGUUUCGGCUAUCACUUACAGAUGGGCCCGCGGUGCAUUAGCUAGUUGGUGAGGUAACGGCUCACCAAGGCAACGAUGCAUAGCCGACCUGAGAGGGUGAUCGGCCACACUGGGACUGAGACACGGCCCAGACUCCUACGGGAGGCAGCAGUAGGGAAUCUUCCGCAAUGGACGAAAGUCUGACGGAGCAACGCCGCGUGAGUGAUGAAGGCUUUCGGGUCGUAAAACUCUGUUGUUAGGGAAGAACAAGUACAAGAGUAACUGCUUGUACCUUGACGGUACCUAACCAGAAAGCCACGGCUAACUACGUGCCAGCAGCCGCGGUAAUACGUAGGUGGCAAGCGUUAUCCGGAAUUAUUGGGCGUAAAGCGCGCGCAGGCGGUUUCUUAAGUCUGAUGUGAAAGCCCACGGCUCAACCGUGGAGGGUCAUUGGAAACUGGGGAACUUGAGUGCAGAAGAGAAAAGCGGAAUUCCACGUGUAGCGGUGAAAUGCGUAGAGAUGUGGAGGAACACCAGUGGCGAAGGCGGCUUUUUGGUCUGUAACUGACGCUGAGGCGCGAAAGCGUGGGGAG
This 711-nucleotide ribosomal RNA is filed under the name Bacillus sp. (in: firmicutes). RNAcentral's name for it is "bacterial SSU rRNA". It matches the Rfam family "Bacterial small subunit ribosomal RNA", at positions 73 to 768 of the family's 1533-position model. The record is from RNAcentral. Lineage: Bacteria; Bacillati; Bacillota; Bacilli; Caryophanales; Bacillaceae.